UGGGGAAUUUUGGACAAUGGGCGAAAGCCUGAUCCAGCCAUUCCGCGUGAGUGAAGAAGGCCUUCGGGUUGUAAAGCUCUUUCGGCGGGGAAGAAAUCACCUCUUCUAAUACAAGGGGUGGAUGACGGUACCUGAAGAAGAAGCACCGGCUAACUACGUGCCAGCAGCCGCGGUAAUACGUAGGGUGCGAGCGUUAAUCGGAAUUACUGGGCGUAAAGCGUGCGCAGGCGGUUUUGUAAGACAGCUGUGAAAUCCCCGGGCUCAACCUGGGAACUGCGGUUGUGACUGCAAGGCUAGAGUACGGCAGAGGGGGGUGGAAUUCCACGUGUAGCAGUGAAAUGCGUAGAUAUGUGGAGGAACACCGAUGGCGAAGGCAGCCCCCUGGGUCGAUACUGACGCUCAUGCACGAAAGCGUGGGGAGCAAACAGG
RNAcentral lists this ribosomal RNA (429 nucleotides) under uncultured bacterium. Its description in RNAcentral is "bacterial SSU rRNA". It matches the Rfam family "Bacterial small subunit ribosomal RNA", at positions 355 to 776 of the family's 1533-position model. The record is from RNAcentral.